This 446-nucleotide ribosomal RNA is filed under the name uncultured bacterium. RNAcentral's name for it is "partial 16S ribosomal RNA". It matches the Rfam family "Bacterial small subunit ribosomal RNA", at positions 338 to 795 of the family's 1533-position model. The record is from RNAcentral.
CCUAUGGGGUGCAGCAGUCGAGAAUCAUUCACAAUGGGGGAAACCCUGAUGGUGCGACGCCGCGUGGGGGAAUGAAGGUCUUCGGAUUGUAAACCCCUGUCAUGUGGGAGCAAACUAAAAAGAUAGUACCACAAGAGGAAGAGACGGCCAACUCUGUGCCAGCAGCCGCGGUAAUACAGAGGACUCAAGCGUUGUUCGGAAUCACUGGGCGUAAAGCGUGCGAAGGCUGUUUCGUAAGUCGUGUGUGAAAGGCGCGGGCUCAACCCGCGGACGGAACAUGAUACUGCGAGACUAGAGUAAUGGAGGGGGAGCCGGAAUUCCCGGUGUAGCAGUGAAAUGCGUAGAUAUCGAGAGGAACACUCAAGGCGAAGGCAGGUUCCUGGACAUUAACUGACGCUGAGGCGCGAAGGCCAGGGGAGCGAAAGGGAUUAGAUACCCUAGUAGUC